UAUAGGAUGAUAGACUUGACGAAAUAGAGAACGGGUUACAUGAGAUCCUUGAAAGACAUAGUUUACCCUUUGCUCAAGUUUGGAUUCCUUUUUCUCGAUCUGCCUCUUUACACCUCCUGUAUUGUGCUGGUGCCCCCAUCUACGAACCAUUGAGAUCAAUGUAUAAUGAGUUUGAACACGUUUCUGAGGCCUGUUUUAUUGAGAAUGGUAAGGCAUUAGUGUGGAUCCCAAGGUUCAUGCUUUUGCAAAGAUGUUACUCUAUUAAGCUUCAACGAGUACCCUUUGGUGCCUAGUGCACGAAAAGCUAAAUUGACUCAAAGUUUUCCAAUUUGCUUGCAAAGUAAGUACGCCAACAAUUUUGUUUGCAUAGUUGAGUACUUUCUUCCGCCCAUGAAAUGGUUGUUAGAGAUACAAAGACUUUCUUAAACAUGCUUUUAUCCACAAUGAAGGAACAACUUCCAGGUUUCAUAGUUGCUUCUGGAAAUGAAUUAGGGCAGAGGAUGCUCGUUGAAGUUGUUAAAGUUUCCCAAAGUGUUGAACUUGACUUCUUUGAAAUUAGCCAACCUCUUCCGAGUGUUCAAUCACUUCAGGAUGGAGGAGAAACAACAGAAAUUGAUUCUUUCUGUCAACAGUCAAAUUUACAGAACGGGGAGAAUAAUGUUGCUGCUGCACUACUGGUUCCUUCUUAUUCAUCACUCAACUGUCAAAGGACAGUGGAAGUUGAUCCAUUACUUCCUCAUCCAAUAGGGGAAGCUAUGACAAACAGAGGAAAAAUAACUUGGAUAUAGCACAUGAUGAUCACAUUGAGGAUACAAGUGAUAUAAUGCAACUUGAUUCACACUUUGAGCAACCAGAUUUAGAAAUUAAUUCCGCGGGAAAUGAAACGAGUAACAACGAGAAAAUCCAUUCACAUAAGAACAACCCAAUACAAAGGAUAGAAAAAGAUUAUGAGAUUACUCGCAAGAUUCUGGAGCAGCAUUUUGGCAUGACUCUUGAAGAUGCUGCCAAAAAUCUACGUGAUGGCCACAUCAUAAGACUAGAAAGGUUAAUGUCCAUGUUAGCCAAGGCGUAUCUUUUCAAGGUGCUGAACCAUAUGUGGUCGAUCAACAAUGUCCUGCUCUUACCCAAGAAAAAGGCACCGAUUAUUUGGGUAACAAAAUAUCUCCUUCAACAGGAGUACCUUGUGAUAGUCUGAUGACAUAUAGAGGUGAUAUUAUAAAGUUUCAACUCUCCCUUUCAUCAACCAGGGUAGAAUUGGAAGGGGAAGUUGAAAAGAGGCUUAAGAUAUCAAUUCAAAGGUUUUUAAUCAAGCAUCAAGAUGAAGAUAAAGAUUGGAUUUUAAUAACUACUGAUACAGAUGAAGGGGAAGGACUACUAUGAGAUUACUGGUUACCCCAGAAGCUGACACAUGAAGGAUUUUCCCUAAGUUUUGUUAUGGUUAUCUUUAUAGCAGAAAUGUUAUCUUUUGAUGACAUGGUGUUUGUCUCUUCCCUGCGGUGUUUUGACUUGUCUUUGUGCUCGGUGAACCAAGGUGAUUAAUGCUGUUAGAAAGAUUGCUAUAAAUAAAAGAGGAAAAUAAUCCAUUAGGGCUUAUGCUAAGAGUUAUGUUGUUUUCUUUUCAUUAGCUAUUUUGUAAUAGCAGUUUGGAAACUCCCUUUUCUAUUUCCGUUUGUUCUUUAAUUGCAUGAACAAUCGACUAGUAAGUUCCUUUGAUAAUCAAUACAAAUCUUAAUUUGUUA
This is a long non-coding RNA of Solanum dulcamara, 1739 nucleotides long. RefSeq lists it as uncharacterized. The record is from RefSeq and is a predicted model, not a curated record. NCBI's taxonomy places the organism in Eukaryota, Viridiplantae, Streptophyta, Magnoliopsida, Solanales, Solanaceae. The transcript is spliced from 2 exons.